GCCCAGCAUAGAGGUACACACCUAUGGUCUCUCUACUUGGGAGGCUGAGGUAGGAGGGUCACUUCAGCUCAGGAAUUCUGGGCUGUCGUGCACCAUGCCAAUUGGGUGUCCACACUCAGUUUGACGCCAAUAUGGCCACCUCUUGGGAGCAGGGGACCACCAGGUUGCCUAAGGAGGGGUGAACCAGCCCAGGUCAGAAACAGAGCAGUUCUAUGUUGAUCAGUGAUGGGGCUGAGCCUGUGACUAGCAACAGCAUUCUUGCCUGACAACAUAGUGAGACCUUGUCUCUC
Unclassified non-coding RNA from Callithrix jacchus (white-tufted-ear marmoset), 290 nucleotides. It matches the Rfam family "Metazoan signal recognition particle RNA". From Rfam's summary of the family: The signal recognition particle (SRP) is a universally conserved ribonucleoprotein. It is involved in the co-translational targeting of proteins to membranes. Lineage: Eukaryota; Metazoa; Chordata; Mammalia; Primates; Cebidae. The record is from Ensembl.